Molecule: long non-coding RNA, 433 nt
Filed under: Dermacentor andersoni
Lineage: Eukaryota; Metazoa; Arthropoda; Arachnida; Ixodida; Ixodidae
Description: uncharacterized LOC126534369
Source: RNAcentral
UCUUCUACAAGUGUGCUUGCAAAACAGUUACAAAAAUGCACCAGAUGCGCCAACGUUCACUUUAUUGGACAGAGCUUUCGUAUGGAGGGCUCCGUAAGCUUUGUGAAAUGAAAAUGCCUCCUUCAAGGUUUGCCUUGUUUAUUAUCAUGACCGUUGGAACUGAUACUGUCACUAUAUAUGAUCUGAAGAGCCACCUGGCCACCCAUGACAGAAUCUGGACCCGUUACCGCAGUUAUGAAAGCAGCACUAACGGAGAUAAGCACGUGUGCAUUUACCUCGAAGCAAGGAAUCAGGGGCACUCAAAUUAUUUCUUCACUAAGCAUUACGAGGUUGGUCGCACGUGGAGGAGUCGGCAGUUGUAUGGAACAAUAGCUGAAGGCAGAGAUGGACCCAUAUUAGUAGUUACAAGCAAACAAGGUAAAGGUAAAACAGU